GUCCCUGUAGCGCAAUGGAUACCGCGUCGGACUUCUAAUCCAUAGGUCGUGGGUUCGAAUCCCACCUGGGAUG
This 73-nucleotide transfer RNA is filed under the name Trichonephila inaurata madagascariensis. It matches the Rfam family "tRNA". From Rfam's summary of the family: Transfer RNA (tRNA) molecules are approximately 80 nucleotides in length. Their secondary structure includes four short double-helical elements and three loops (D, anti-codon, and T loops). Further hydrogen bonds mediate the characteristic L-shaped molecular structure. tRNAs have two regions of fundamental functional importance: the anti-codon, which is responsible for specific mRNA codon recognition, and the 3' end, to which the tRNAs corresponding amino acid is attached (by aminoacyl-tRNA synthetases). tRNAs cope with the degeneracy of the genetic code in two manners: having more than one tRNA (with a specific anti-codon) for a particular amino acid; and 'wobble' base-pairing, i.e. permitting non-standard base-pairing at the 3rd anti-codon position. The record is from Rfam by way of RNAcentral. Lineage: Eukaryota; Metazoa; Arthropoda; Arachnida; Araneae; Nephilidae.